This 377-nucleotide ribosomal RNA is filed under the name uncultured microorganism. RNAcentral's name for it is "bacterial SSU rRNA". It matches the Rfam family "Bacterial small subunit ribosomal RNA", at positions 9 to 375 of the family's 1533-position model. The record is from RNAcentral.
GAGUUUGAUCGUGGCUCAGGAUGAACGCUGGCGGCGUGCCUAAUACAUGCAAGUCGAGCGAACGGACGAGAAGCUUGCUUCUCUGAUGUUAGCGGCGGACGGGUGAGUAACACGUGGGUAACCUACCUAUAAGACUGGGAUAACUCCGGGAAACCGGGGCUAAUACCGGAUAACACAUGAAACCGCAUGGUUUCAUGAUGAAAGACGGUCUUGCUGUCACUUAUAGAUGGAUCCGCGCUGCAUUAGCUAGUUGGUAAGGUAACGGCUUACCAAGGCAACGAUGCAUAGCCGACCUGAGAGGGUGAUCGGCCACACUGGAACUGAGACACGGUCCAGACUCCUACGGGAGGCAGCAGUAGGGAAUCUUCCGCAAUGGG